GUUUCCAAUUGUAGAAUGGCUUUGAGCGGAGGCAGUUUGUAUUGGAGUGGCUAGAGCCGUGCAUUAGAUUUAUUUUUUACUUCUGCCGUUGCAACGCGUGGCGUUGUGGUCUUGUUGCAGUGCGACGGUGUCGCAAGAUUGUUUUUGUGUCUGUGUGAUCUUUUGGAAGCUUGAUUGCGCUUCCAAGCGGACCUUGUGUACAAAGUU
This 207-nucleotide long non-coding RNA is filed under the name Physcomitrium patens. RNAcentral's name for it is "long non-coding RNA (PPAT_LNC010775)". The record is from RNAcentral. Lineage: Eukaryota; Viridiplantae; Streptophyta; Bryopsida; Funariales; Funariaceae.